This 496-nucleotide ribosomal RNA is filed under the name uncultured bacterium. RNAcentral describes it as "partial 16S ribosomal RNA". It matches the Rfam family "Bacterial small subunit ribosomal RNA", at positions 28 to 506 of the family's 1533-position model. The record is from RNAcentral.
GAUGAACGCUGGCGGCGUGCCUAAUACAUGCAAGUCGAGCGAACAGACGAGGAGCUUGCUCCUCUGACGUUAGCGGCGGACGGGUGAGUAACACGUGGAUAACCUACCUAUAAGACUGGGAUAACUUCGGGAAACCGGAGCUAAUACCGGAUAAUAUAUUGAACCGCAUGGUUCAAUAGUGAAAGACGGUUUUGCUGUCACUUAUAGAUGGAUCCGCGCCGCAUUAGCUAGUUGGUAAGGUAACGGCUUACCAAGGCAACGAUGCGUAGCCGACCUGGGAGGGGAAUCGGCCACACUGGAACUGAGACACGGUCCAGACUCCUACGGGAGGCAGCAGUAGGGAAUCUUCCGCAAUGGGCGAAAGCCUGACGGAGCAACGCCGCGUGAGUGAUGAAGGUCUUCGGAUCGUAAAACUCUGUUAUUAGGGAAGAACAAAUGUGUAAGUAACUAUGCACGUCUUGACGGUACCUAAUCAGAAAGCCACGGCUAACUACGU